Molecule: long non-coding RNA, 932 nt
Filed under: Cicer arietinum (chickpea)
Lineage: Eukaryota; Viridiplantae; Streptophyta; Magnoliopsida; Fabales; Fabaceae
Description: long non-coding RNA (CARI_LNC001625)
Source: RNAcentral
CCGUGAUAUCAAAACCAUACACCAUAUGCUUAAUGGUACGAUUAUUCAUCAAUUGUGUCACACUUUAGUAGUGCUUUAUAAAUAUAUCACCAAGUACAUUUAGCUUAGAGAAAAAAAAAGACCUAGACCAACACAUGUCUGUAUCUAUAUAACAAGAAGCUUAACCCACAUAAAUUUUACAUUCACAUCAUUUUGUCUUUUUGAGUCUUAGUAACAUUGUUACUUAAAUUAUGAAAAUGAAGCAAUUCCACUUGUUCCUUCUCUUUAGUAUUCUUCUCUUCCUUACACCUACUUCUUAUUCCAUUAGGACCCCCAAAUUUUCAGGUCCCUCAACUUCAACACAACAAUAUUUUCAUCAUUCAUGGGCCAGUUCUCCAAUCAGCUUCAGAGAAUUUGAGUCUCAGAAAAGAAGAGUGCCUACAGGAUCCAACCCUUUACACAAUAAGAGAUAGAGUAUCAUAUGUAGCAGCUAUUUAAUAUUUCUCAUGUACAGGGAAGUAUAUAUUAUAUACUUUUAUAUCAUAUGCUAGUAUAAUUGAAUUGUUGCAUUUGUAUGUAUCAUUAAUAUUAGAAAAAAGAAUGAUUUGUUUUGUUAGCUAGAUUGGUAGAGAUAAUUUGUUCUUGUUGUACAGAGGAUAUUUAGAAUUUUGUUCUCUUGUGGAAGUAUAAAACCAUGCAUAUAUGGGUUUUUUUUAUACAUUAAUAAAAAAUUGAAACAGAGACAAAAAUUUAGAGAACAAAAAAAUAUAAAAUUUGUAUUUAUUUUUUAUGUCUCUAACUUUUGUCAUUAUUUUGAUAUUUUCCUAGUAUUUCUUUGCCUUGAAUGAAGCUUUCUGUUCCAUUGGAACUUGCACCAAAUUUUGAAGAAACCAAUAAUAGUAUGAAUUAUAUCAUCAAUUAGCUUCUUCUGUGGCUCAAUUCCAAAGAUGAGU